This 1315-nucleotide long non-coding RNA is filed under the name Capsicum annuum. RNAcentral's name for it is "long non-coding RNA (CANN_LNC003074)". Lineage: Eukaryota; Viridiplantae; Streptophyta; Magnoliopsida; Solanales; Solanaceae. The record is from RNAcentral.
AGAUUUUACUUUCUGUUCGGGAACCUCCUGAAAAAUGAGAUUUUACUUUCUGUUUAGGACCCUCCUGGAAAAUGGGACGUUACUUUCAAAAAUAAAAUCUUUCUUUAUCAUAAUUUUUGUUUGGGAUAAUUCUCGCUCUAGUUUUUAUUUUGAUUUUUGGAGCCUACCUGAAGAACAGGGUGAUGAAGCUGUAAGUCAGGUGCCCGCCUGAAGAGCAUGGUAAAUUAGUUGAAAGUCAAACAACAAGUUGAAGAAAUUAAAAGCCAAACAACAAGUUCAAGAAAUUGCAAGUCAGGAACCCGCCUGAAGAAUAGGGUGAUAAAAUUAAAAGUCAGGAGCCCACCUGAAGAACAGGGUGAUGGAAAUGGCAAGUCAGGAGCCCUCCUGAAGAAUAGGGUGAUUAAAUUAAAAGUCAAGUAACAAGGUUAAGAGAUUGAAAGUCAAGCAAUAAGGUCAAGAAGUUGAAAGUCAAACAACAAGGUGAAGAAGUUGAAAGUCAAGCAACAAGGCGAAGAAAUUACAAGUUAGGAGCCCGCCUGAAGAAUAGGAUGAUGAAACUCAAGUCAAGAGUCCAAAAGAAGCCGCAUAGAUAGGACUUUUGUAAUUUUAUUUAUGUUUUUAACUUGUAAUUUUCAUUUUUGAUGUAAUGACAAAGCCACGGACUAGAACCUCGAUGGAACCUCACUCGACUCUCCAACUCGGUAUAGUCCUUCUAUUUCCAAUCCUUUGAGAUACCCUUGAAUUGAUUCCCUCAUAACUUGGGUAGCUAGGAUGUCCAAAAUCAAGAGUCGGUUGCCCUCCUUCCUUCUGUUUCAUUCUUUUUGAAUAAUGAUCGCGACAAAAUUAUGUCUCGUUGUUUACUUCUUUGUUUGAAAACACUGUGUGUUUACAUUCAAAGGGGGCAUGAUGUAGACACAUAAUUUCAUCCCUCCCUGAUAUCGUUUUACCCAUUUUUUACCUUAUCCUACCAUGUACCUUCACCCAUGUAAUUACAUCCCACAAAAAUACAAAAAAUAACUCUCAACAAAAUUCCUAACAAACUUUUAUUCUUUUUAACAUCCUAACAACCCUUUCAAUUAAAAGAAGACAAAUUACCCAUACCCAUACCCCCAACACCCUAUACCCACAUGACCCCCUCCCCCUCAUAUUUCUUGUCCACAAAGGCAAAAAGGAAUAAACAUUAGAAAGGGGCCCUACUAGGAAACUUCCAGGAGGGGGACAAAAGGACAAUUUUUCCAUUUUGGAAAAAAAUGAUAUAUACACACAUAUACAGAUCAAAAAAGGGGGGGUUUCUUCUAGAUUCACCAUAUUCAUC